AUGGGUGGCACCUAUGAGCAGACUAUCGAGCCAAACCAACAUGAAGUGUAUGGAGAGCAGGGUUUCAAUGUUCAACUUUCCUGCAACUACUCCUCUGCAUACAGUGUACUGUGGUAUAAACAGUAUGCGGGAUCAGCCCAAUUCCUCCUCUUCAUCCUGCACUCCACUGGGACUGGACAGAGAGCGGAUUCUCUUGACUCUCACUUCUCUGGUAAACUGAACAAAGAGAAGACCAGUGUGGAUCUGGAGAACUMCUCUGCUGAAGUGACAGACUCUGCUCUGUACUAYUGUGCUCUAUGUCGGAGYGGCAUAGGCUAA
This is a non-coding RNA of Salvelinus sp. IW2-2015, 318 nucleotides long. The record is from the annotation of a RefSeq genome assembly. Lineage: Eukaryota; Metazoa; Chordata; Actinopteri; Salmoniformes; Salmonidae.